AGGCACAGGGCUGAUGUUGCUUCUGCCCUUAGAUCCUUCUCCCCUCUACAGCCUGGACAGGCCCCUCAAGGCCGUGUUCCCAGUACCAUGACAGGCUCUGGAGUGGACGCCAGGACAGCCAGCUCCGGGAGCAGCGUGUGGGAAGGACAGCUGCAAAGCCUGGUGCUGUCUGAAUAUGCGUCCACUGAGAUGAGCCUUCAUGCCCUCUAUAUGCACCAGGUGAGUGGGCAGCCCCAAAGCAGUAGAUUCUAGGCCUUCUCUGCCUCUACAUUUUCACAGAAGUCAUUUAGUGGGGAAGCCGGGGUUAAGACAGUUUCUCUGUAUAACAGCCCUGGAUUGUCUGGAACUCACUCUAUAGAACAGGCUGGCUUUGAACUCACAGAAAUCCACCUGCCUCAGCCUCCUGAGUGCUGGCAUUAAAGGCACACACCACCAUACCUGGCUGUCACAUAUGUCCUCGCUUGUGUUCCCUACCCUGUUCUCUUCCUCCUACUAUCUCCAAGACUCAGUAUAAAUUUCCUGUCUCCACUCUCCUGAAUCUAAUUUUUUUUCCAGUACUGAGGAUUGAACAGGUAAGGCCUUGGACAUGUUAGGUAAGCCUUGAGCUAUAUCCUCAGCCUUCUUUCUAUAUCCUCAGCCUUCUUUUGCCUUAUUAUUCUAAGAGCUGUUUUCACUAAGUUACCUAGGCUGGCCUUGAACUCAUUUUGUAGCCAGGCUGGCUUUGAACUUGUGAUC
This 735-nucleotide long non-coding RNA is filed under the name Rattus norvegicus (Norway rat). Its description in RNAcentral is "long non-coding RNA NONRATT030180". The record is from RNAcentral. Lineage: Eukaryota; Metazoa; Chordata; Mammalia; Rodentia; Muridae.